UCGCUGUGAUGAUAUCAAGAGAACGGUUUCGCAAACUUCUGAUAUCUCGUGAGGAGCGACUCUCUUGGCUGUCUGAGCGG
This is a small nucleolar RNA of Spea bombifrons (plains spadefoot toad), 80 nucleotides long. RefSeq annotates it as small nucleolar RNA SNORD53/SNORD92. NCBI's taxonomy places the organism in Eukaryota, Metazoa, Chordata, Amphibia, Anura, Pelobatidae. The record is from RefSeq and is a predicted model, not a curated record. The transcript has a single exon.